This 2838-nucleotide long non-coding RNA is filed under the name Oryzias sinensis (Chinese medaka). RNAcentral describes it as "lncRNA (ENSOSIG00000015955.1)". The record is from RNAcentral. Lineage: Eukaryota; Metazoa; Chordata; Actinopteri; Beloniformes; Adrianichthyidae.
CUGCAUGCUAAUCAUUAGUGGCUGCAGGUCAGCCGUCCGGGGUCACACCAAAAAAGGCAGAAACUCUGUUUUGGCCAUGCAUCUUCUCAAAAGCGUCCAGAGCAUAUUGGAGCUGCAUCUGCUCCUGCAGGAACAGUAGAUUUCCAGACGUUGUGGAGAAAGUUAAGGUUUGCUGAAAAAGAAAGUGAGUUCUGCAACCAGAAUGACAAACUACACCAGCGGCUGAAAAGGCACAUCCUGCACACGUGCAGGCAGAGCUCCUCUGGAGAAGGCAGAGGCUGUGGGUUUGAGGGGAAACGGGUGAGCAGGCGGCAGUUAGAGAAGGGGUGUGGAAAAUGUGCAGGGAGGGGGGCGACUGAAGAAGUCCAGCCAUAUAAAAAGGGAGACAGAACACAGGCCGUGCUUUAUUCUCCCCGUCUGUCCUGCUCGCUCAGACCUCACAGGAAACCUCCAACUCCCCCGGCUCUCCAGCUCGCCUCCACUUCCCACACUUUUUUGAACUUUCUCAGGCGGUCCCGCCAGCUGUGCUUCAUCUGGGAGGAUGGCUACGUCCAUGCUGGGAAUGAAUGGGCUCUGCAGAAUAGCUGGAGCUCUGCUGCUCUUCGCUCUACUGAGUGAAGUGAUGUGUCAAGACAAUACCAACUCCACUAAUCAAGGUGCAGCAAAAACAUCCCAUCAGCCCUGCUUUGCUGAUAAAAAAAAAAAAACCUUUACAAAGAUAGUCACUUUUUAGUAGGACAUAGCUACAAAAAUACUUCCUAACACAAAAAUUAUCUCCUAAAAAGCCUCUAAAGCCUUCUCUUUGUAUUGUGUUUUUAUUUAAAGGUGCCAACUCCACCCAAGAUGGAGACACCCCCCAGUCUGGUGGAGCCACAGCAUCACCAUCGGCUUUACCUAUGAAUGAAUCACAGCUGAUUAACAAAACGGUGCCAGCGCUCAGUGAAGGGAUUCCCAUUGAUGGCCCUGUGGAUAAAGGCUCUGCAGAGGUUUUAGCUGGUGCAGAGACAAUAGACUUGCUGCCUCUUAAAGAAGUUGUGGUAAGUGUUGGAAUUUCCCAUCAUCGAUGGGAUCCCAUGUCCCGCUGUAGACAACAGCUUUACCAAGUGAAGAGACUAAAUUUGUUGGGUUUUAACCAAGAAUGAUUCUUUCCGCAGCCUGACGUGAAGUGCGUUGGAAAGGAGGACCUGCACACAAGCACUGUGAAGGCUGAAAUCCAAACGAAAGACUGUGUGAGUUCAAACUUCUCAGACCUUUACAACAUUCAAGCUGUUGGCUCUACACAAUCUCUUUUCAGGGGUUUUCUUGACUGAUACACAUGAAACAAUGACUAAAAAUAAAAAAAAAAUAAACUUAAGCUGUUAGAGCAGGGUAGGGCAGUGGUGUAGUGGUCUGCACUCUCACCUUACUGUGAGAAGGAACUGGUUUGACUCCCAUGGCUGGGUCUUUUCCCCAGGCACAGUCCAAAAAAUGCUUCAUAGGUUACUUGGUAUCCCUAAAUUGUCUCUAGGUGUGUAACAGAAGCUCGGAUAGGCUCCAGCAACGCUGAGACCCCCUGAGAGGGUUGAUCCAGGUUUGGAAGAUGGAUAUUACAGUUGGACAAUAGUUACUAUAGCUACAGAAAUAUAUAGGAUGAACUCUCUGACCUAUAGCCACCCUCCUUCAUUUUUUUUACAUUUGUUAACACAAGCAAUUUCUAAGUACUCUCAUGUGUAAAGGAUAUGACUCAAACUUCAUGUAGCUGCAGCUUUCAGUCUAGGAACUACAGCAAUAGUAUCAUGUAAUGUGGCGUGUGACGGUUCACAAAUAAAAAAGGAGUGCAGCUUCAUGUGAAGAGCUCUGCAGCUUGAAUUCUGCCUCCUGCUUCUUUUUUUUUCUCCAGCUGUGGGUCCACUCCCAGCUAAGAGAGGAUUUGGGGUUUGGGGGAUUUGGAGAGCGUCUUCUGGGGCUGCUAGAAGACGUCUGGAUCCCAUUACUGAAAAAUGACGUGCAUGCAGUUGUGCAAGGAAGUGAUAUCAUAAUUUUGGGAUGAGACUAGAAAUAAAAAGAAAGAAAAAACAGGUGUGGUCAGUGAGGUUCUGGAGCUGUGCAUCAUCCUAGUUUCGUUAAAGUAUUUUUUUGCUCCUUCACCCUGUGUUUCGCUACUUUUACUAAGACUAACAUUAGAAAUAAAAUGUUAAUGUAUUCUGUUUCUCUACAUGUACUCUUAUAGGAGGCAACAAAGAAUAUUAUUGAGGAAAACCCUGCAGGCUGGUGCCAUCAGGAAAGCUGUCAGCUAAAAAUUUUCCAAGACGGGAAAACCAUCUUUGUGUCCAGCAAUGAUAGUAAGUAUCAGUCAGAGGCUGUAUAAAAUCUAUUACUUGAAAUUGAAUGUUUUUUUCCUGACAAGAAAACCUGAUUUUUUACUUUAUUUUAUCUGCAGCUAAGCCAGGUACAUUAGUGAAUGCACUCCAGAGUGAAAAACUGAAGAAUAAGGUAAGACAUUCCAACAGAAUUAAGGAUUUUCACAUAACUGUACAAAUACACUGGAGACAUUGUGAAAAAUUCAGUGGAUUGGUUUCUGUUUCACCUCACAGAUUUUUGGUUAAGGGGUCAAUUAUGUGUGGGUGAUCUGCACACCCCCUGUUGUGUUUUCCAUAUAAUGGUCUCACUGUGUGUAAUUUGAUUUACUUAUUAGGACCAAAAACUUCUCAAAGAAAAACCUUUUAAAUGUUGCAUUAAUUUCAACACUCUGUGGGUAUAAAAAGCUGAUUUAUCGAGUAAGUUCAUCAUUCCAAUAGUCAUGGACACACAACGUCACUUAACGGACGAGCAGCGUCACCUGGCCACACAGCGCCUUCA